Molecule: long non-coding RNA, 270 nt
Filed under: Elaeis guineensis (African oil palm)
Lineage: Eukaryota; Viridiplantae; Streptophyta; Magnoliopsida; Arecales; Arecaceae
Description: long non-coding RNA (EGUI_LNC001094)
Source: RNAcentral
UAAACUGUCAACCCUGAUGAGAUCAUUCGAAUCGUGCUCAACUCAAUUAGUCCUGUGACUCCUCACUAGGACUACCCUGGCCAAAGUUUUGCUAAAUUGAAACACGACUGUACACAGCUCCUAAACUGGAGUGGUCAAUCCCAUCUUGACACAUGCACCGACAAGUCAAGUACUUGACUACACCCAGCAGCCUUCCGUCACUAAAUUAGAAAUUCAGGUAGUCCAGUGCCUAAGUGCAGUGAGUUGCUUGCAAUUUACCGUGGCGGUCUC